Solanum tuberosum (potato) is the source of this 674-nucleotide long non-coding RNA. RefSeq lists it as uncharacterized. The record is from RefSeq and is a predicted model, not a curated record. The transcript is spliced from 2 exons. Lineage: Eukaryota; Viridiplantae; Streptophyta; Magnoliopsida; Solanales; Solanaceae.
GUGAUUGUUUAGAAAGAAUUUGAGUUGCCAAAUUCUUUGGUGCUUUCAUGAAAUUAGCAGUGAUAUCGACGGCUAAAAAUUCAGGGUAAGCUUUCAAUAUUGAUUGUUUUUGCUGCUAUCAAUGUGUUGAAGAAAAUCUUAGGCCUCAUUUGAGACGGUUGGGAUUGUUUGAAACUGAUGAAAGUCAUCCAUGAAAAUCUCAGACUAGCAUUGGAAGCAAUUGUCCAACAAAGGUUAGAACCGACAAACCAGAGGAUUCCAUGUCCACGUCACAUAGUUCUGCUUUCUGGUGUUCUUAUUUUUGCACAUCCAUAAAUACUUGCACAAAGAGAAAGUUAAUGGUCCAGAGGUAAUGCAACGUUUUAUGAACUUGCUGAGAGGUCACUAGAUGAGCCAGUUAAUGAUGGAAUGAAAGAGCAUAUAUCAAAGGUUGUCUAAAAGCAAAAAGCACUUGCUGCUUUAAACUUUCAAGACGAAGGAGAAACAAAAAAUAGUCUAUGGUGAAUGAAGUUAGUUAGCAAAAACAAACUCCGUUCCUAUUCUUCCUAUUGAUAAAUGUCUAUUAUAGUGUACAACAUCAUAACAAAGCAGAAUUAGAGAAAUGUAGUAUGUUGUUCAUUUUAUGCUAUUCUUACAUCUACAGAUUGAAAAAUAAUUGUGCUGCUUCUAUCUCA